This 252-nucleotide ribosomal RNA is filed under the name Enterobacter hormaechei. RNAcentral's name for it is "partial 16S ribosomal RNA". It matches the Rfam family "Bacterial small subunit ribosomal RNA", at positions 1281 to 1533 of the family's 1533-position model. The record is from RNAcentral. Lineage: Bacteria; Pseudomonadati; Pseudomonadota; Gammaproteobacteria; Enterobacterales; Enterobacteriaceae.
GCCUAUCUCAGUUCGGAUUGGAGGCUGAAACCCGCCUCCAUGAAGUUGGAUUCGCUAGUAAUCGCGCAUCAGCCAUGGCGCGGUGAAUACGUUCCCGGGCCUUGUACACACCGCCCGUCAAGCCAUGGAAGCUGGGGGUGCCUGAAGUUCGUGACCGCAAGGAGCGACCUAGGGCAAAACCGGUAACUGGGGCUAAGUCGUAACAAGGUAGCCGUACCGGAAGGUGCGGCUGGAACACCUCCUUUCUGGAGC